GCGCGGGUGGCGAAACGGCAGACGCACUACCUUGAGGUGGUAGCGGGCGCAAGCCCAUGGAGGUUCAACUCCUCUCCCGCGCACCA
The sequence is a transfer RNA, 86 nucleotides long. It matches the Rfam family "tRNA". Rfam says of the family: Transfer RNA (tRNA) molecules are approximately 80 nucleotides in length.